GCGGCUGUGGCGGAAUUGGCAGACGCGCUAGAUUCAGGUUCUAGUGGGUUCACCCCCGUGGAGGUUCGACUCCUCUCAGCCGCA
This 84-nucleotide transfer RNA is filed under the name Phycisphaerae bacterium. RNAcentral describes it as "tRNA-Leu". It matches the Rfam family "tRNA". From Rfam's summary of the family: Transfer RNA (tRNA) molecules are approximately 80 nucleotides in length. Their secondary structure includes four short double-helical elements and three loops (D, anti-codon, and T loops). RNAcentral also lists the same sequence under 1 other name. Lineage: Bacteria; Pseudomonadati; Planctomycetota; Phycisphaerae. The record is from RNAcentral.